CAUUAAAAAUGCAAAUGAUUUUUUAAUAGUGAGUUUGUUUGUAUCGGGACAUGUAAGACCCAUAGAUUGCAUUUGAUUGAUAUUUCCUUUAAGUUCAUAGGUUUCCCUCCCCACCCCUUGCAAUUAUUGUUGAAGAAAUUGGGCAGUUUAUCUUGGAUCUUGCUGAUUGCAUUCCCAUAAUGUCAUUUUACACAUUCCUCUGUCCCCUGUAUUUCCUGCAAACUGGUAGAUCUAGAGCCUUCUUGAGAUUCAGGUUUGGUUUUUCUUGUUUGCCAGGAGUACUUCACAGGUGGUGCUGUGUCAGGAGUCACAUGGAAUCAUUUUGUGGUGUGAGCAGCCGUCGAUGAUCAUGCCCAGAUCCAUUAAUUCAUUAGCUGCCAUAUGGCUUGAUGUGGCACUGCUCCUUGCAGCAGCUGGGAAAAAGAGUGCCUUGGUCCUGAAGGAGACAUCUGGGUGGUACAUCACAGCAUCCGUGACACACAAGAAGUAAAGCCAGGUUUAGAACCCAGGCAGUCAGAUUCCACAGCCUGGAUGCUUAACCGCUGCCCUCUACUGCUUGGAAGCAUCUAGAGGAAGUAUUUUGAAGGUCUUCUGAACCCCACCGAACCUUCCAGGUCCAUCUUGGAUGCCACUUCUCCAUAAAUAUUUCUCUGAUCCUAUAGCCAGAGGAUGCCUCUCAGCUUGGCAUGCCCACUGCCUGGAGGUGCCCUCUCUGGUGGCA
Molecule: long non-coding RNA, 721 nt
Filed under: Equus caballus (horse)
Lineage: Eukaryota; Metazoa; Chordata; Mammalia; Perissodactyla; Equidae
Description: lncRNA (ENSECAG00000050844.1)
Source: RNAcentral